CAGCAGCCGCGGGAAUACGAAGGGUGCAAGCGUUAAUCGGAAUUACUGGGCGUAAAGCGUGCGUAGGCGGUUUGUUAAGUCUGUUGUGAAAUCCCCGGGCUCAACCUGGGAAUGGCAAUGGAUACUGGCAAGCUAGAGUGUGUCAGAGGAUGGUGGAAUUCCCGGUGUAGCGGUGAAAUGCGUAGAGAUCGGGAGGAACAUCAGUGGCGAAGGCGGCCAUCUGGGACAACACUGACGCUGAGGCACGAAAGCGUGGGGAGCAAACAGGAUUAGAGACCCGAGUAGUCCCUGUCUCUUAUAC
This 301-nucleotide ribosomal RNA is filed under the name uncultured bacterium. Its description in RNAcentral is "partial 16S ribosomal RNA". It matches the Rfam family "Bacterial small subunit ribosomal RNA", at positions 509 to 807 of the family's 1533-position model. The record is from RNAcentral.